Ceratotherium simum simum (southern white rhinoceros) is the source of this 375-nucleotide non-coding RNA. NCBI's taxonomy places the organism in Eukaryota, Metazoa, Chordata, Mammalia, Perissodactyla, Rhinocerotidae. The record is from the annotation of a RefSeq genome assembly.
GUGCCCACCAUGGCCUGGACGGUGCUUCUUCUCGGGCUCCUCGCUUACCGCUCAGGAGUGGAUUCUCAGACUGUGGUGACCCAGGAGCCAUCACUGUCAGUGUCUCCAGGAGGGACGGUCACACUCACCUGUGGCCUGAGCUCUGGGUCAGUCUCUACCAGUAACUACCCCUUCUGGUUCCAGCAGACCCCAGGCCAGGCUCGCCGCAUGCUUAUCUAUAGCACAAGCAGCCGUGCCUCUGGGGUCCCUAAUCGCUUCUCCGGAUCCAUCUCUGGGAACAAAGCCACCCUCACCAUCACGGGGGCCCAGGCUGAGGAUGAGGCCGACUAUUACUGUGCUCUGUAUACAGGUAGUAGUGUUCACACAGUGAUGUAA